RNAcentral lists this transfer RNA (71 nucleotides) under Scomberoides lysan (doublespotted queenfish). RNAcentral describes it as "tRNA-Ser". It matches the Rfam family "tRNA". Rfam says of the family: Transfer RNA (tRNA) molecules are approximately 80 nucleotides in length. RNAcentral also lists the same sequence under 1 other name. The record is from RNAcentral. Lineage: Eukaryota; Metazoa; Chordata; Actinopteri; Carangiformes; Carangidae.
AAGAAGGUGGCAGAUCGGUUAUGUGAUUGGUUUGAACCUAAUUCAAGGGGGUUCAAUUCCCUCCCUUCUCG